This is a non-coding RNA of Chrysemys picta bellii (western painted turtle), 5648 nucleotides long. NCBI's taxonomy places the organism in Eukaryota, Metazoa, Chordata, Testudines, Emydidae. The record is from RefSeq and is a predicted model, not a curated record.
UUAGGAAUGUAUCAGAAAGAAUGAACAAAAUAGUAGAUGUGUCUGAAAACAUCAAAUAGGGCACAGACACUUUAGGGCCAUUCCUGCAUUUGCAGUCUCGUAAUAAGAGCAUGGUACUAAGAAUCAAGAGAUUUUGGUUCUAAUGCCAGCUCUCUCAAUGAGUUAUGUAGCUGUGGACAAUUCACUUAACCUCUGCCUCAGUUUCUAACAGUUAGGGUAAUAAUCACCUAUCAACAUCACAGAGGAUUAAUUGGUGCUUUGGACAUGUAAUUAUUGUUGCAGGCCCUAUGCUCAAAUAUCACAAAGAAGGGCAUAAGAAGCACUGAACAGAAUAUGAAGGCAAAAUUCCUGUUGACUUCCAUGUUUAUCUGCACCAGAGGAAUUGGAGCAGAAUUGCAGACCAACAAAUGAAGUGAGCUGAAGGCAAUUUGACCAAUGUUUUCUGUGUGAAUUCCACAGAGGCUGAUGAAGCAUGUUAUCAGGUCUCCAAGGUCCAGUGUCAAUACAUUAUGAAGAUGUGGCAUUUGAGAGGGUUUUCUUUUACAUGGAGGAACACCAUGGAGAAUGGAACAGAAGAACAGGUAAACUGGUUUUAAAAGGGAAUAAAAAGGAGCCAAUAAUUAUGCCUCACUCUGCUUGCAAAUCAUGUUCAGGACCUCAUAUGGUGUGAACUGGCCUAGCUCUAUUGAUACCAAUAGAGCUAUGCCAAUUUAUAGUAGCUGAGGAUCUGUCUUAAUACCAUUUUUAGACACUGGCACUGGAAUUCACACUUUAGUGUCAAAAUUGAAAAACUUUGAAAAUGCACUACCUUUCUUCCUAUCCCCGAGUAACUGAAGGCUUGCUGACUGUGGCAGAUUAAUGGAAGUAGCCAAUAACUGUGUACAAGUUAUAGUUUGACACACAAGCAGAACAAUGUGGUUUUGCCCCUUGCUUCUAGACAAAUGAAUAUUUAUAUGCAAGACCUAAUUUUCCCUCUAGUAACAAUUUAAUAACAUCAAGGGGAUGCUAUUAACUGUUAAAUGUUGUCAGUGCAAGUUAAAGAUGCUGUAAGCCACUCAAAGCAUUUACCACCGAGCUACAUUAACAUAAUCUUUCAAUCAGUGCAGAAGCUGCAUAGAAUUUUUUUUAAAUGUAUCCCUAAAGAGAGAUGCUAGGAGUGCAAUUCUUAGAACCUGUAUGUACUUGCAAGAAAUCCCCAAUUCCAGACUAUUUGUACAACCAGGUGCUUUUCUUAACAGUCUCACUGCUUGUAAGGGCAGCAAGAGAGAUUCAAAAGGAUGUUCAAUGCAGGCAGCAUGGAUCCAGACUUAUUUGGCAUCUAUCAUGUAUUCCCCAAUGGGUGGGUGGAGGAGGGAAAAGGAAGGGGAGGGACAAAGAAAGAGAGCAGGGGAAAGUUUCAAAUUACAGCUGCAGUAACUAUUUCUAAAUAGGAAAGGAAGCCUAAAUAACUGUCCCAUAUAGGGAAACUGAUAAACAUGAGUGGUAGUGAACAGUGAAAUCUAGUUGCUGAUAUUAGCCAAUAUUAUGCAGUUAAACAUUCUUCUUUGAGAACAGAUAAAAAGUCAAGAUGUGGACGCCCGUUAAUUAAGAGUAGAGAUGUAGCUUCCCCAGCAGCAAAGUAAUUGUUUGUGGAGCACCCUCCCCACCCCCAUAUCUUCAAUUUAGGUCAGGCAUCAAGAGGAGGAAAAAAGGACUGGAGACUGAAGAUGAGAUGCUCUAUUUCACACAGUUGCCCUCUGGAAGGGCUGGCAAAGGCAGUCACUUAAAUUAAGUGCAGGUCAUCAGACAAGAUAUCUAAUCUAUUCCUGAAACAGACAACCUCAACAGCCCAAAUCCCUAUGGCCUUUACAGCGACACAAUGAACUGCUUCCUCAUGUACCCUCUGUCAAUUCAUGUUAGGUUCCUACUUUUUAAAAAGUGAUAUUUCAUGUACACUAUGACCCUAUUGCUCAUAGCAAGGAAAGUGCUUUGGUUUAUUUAUGACCUACUAACCUUAAAUAAAAAAAAGCAUACAACUAAUCUGAAUGUUCUCAUAAGCCUGGAGAUUUGAAAUAAAACUUAAAAUAAAUCUGGCAUUUGUAGCACAGCUAGCUAAGCUAUAUUUGCCCAGUUGGGAAUUUUUUUUUAAAUGAAAACCAGAUGACAAGAGGAAAGCAUUAUUACCCUGCAUAAACUUCAAGGUUUGGGCAUCAGGACUGCAGCUCACAAGUGCCUGGAUUUCCCAUGAGCCUCUGCUUCCAUCAGCAUAGAGUUAAAUAAAGCAAGACUGUGGUUUUACAUCUAUCUCCAGUCUAGAAGACUAGAAUGAAAAGCCAGCUGUAGUUUUUGAGAUAGAACUUAACCCAGCCACAAAACCUAGCCUUGGAAAUAGAGACGUUGGUUAUCAGCCAGACAAGAUCGUUUUUUUUUGUUUGUUUGUUUUUUAAACAAAGUGACAGAAGGAGAAAGAAAUGAAGAAUAAAAAAGCAAACAUCCUCCAUUUUCUAUGCUAAAAUGUGAGUGACCCUAAACUCUACUCAUUGAACACAUGCAGAUAGGAACAAAGGCCUAUUGAAUUCAGGAGCCUGUUUCUCCACUCAGUCAUGAUGAUGUAAAUCAGGAGCAACUUCAUUGAAGCCAAUGGAGUUGCACUGGAAUAAAACCAGUGCAAGUGAGCAGAUAAUCAAACCGCAAGACUGUGGUCUGCUAUAUGUGGACACAUCACAAGUUCUUGGCUGUAUUGGCAAAACAAGUUUACUCUGCAUUUACUUUGAAUUCUGAAGCUUUCACAAUUGCAAGUGAUACAUUUCCCAGGCCAAAAAAAAGGGGGGGGGGAGAAAAGGGAAGCAUCCUGUCUACAAGCACACUAUAGCCCACAAAAGAAAAAGGACCCCAGUUUAUAAUUUUAAAUUAAUGGAGAUAUCCCAUCUCCUAGAACUGGAAGGGACCUUGAAAGGUCAUCGAGUCCAGCCCCCUACCUUCACUAGCAGGACCAAGUACUGAUUUCGCCCCAGACCCUUAAGUGGCCCCCUCAAGGAUUGAACUCACAACCCUGGGUUUAGCAGGCCAAAUGCUACUGCAAUCAUGUUUAUGUGAACCAGUAUGAUAUUCUGUUGGAUAAAGGACAGCAAAUCAUUUAUCUUAGUUUACUAUUACAUGUUAAAAAAGUGGGGCAAUCAAUUCCAGUAUAUGCAGGACAGAUCACUUAAAAGAAAUAGCUAUGACUUAAAAUACUUGCUAGGGAGCCUUAUUUACCAUACUAAAGGAAAUAGCACACAGUCAUGGUAUGUGGUGUCUUUUAGCUUUGGGUUCCUAUUUAUGCAAAUAUUAGCAAGUUGAUGCUUGAAGUGACUGAAAAUAGGUUAUGCAUUGAAAUGCCAAAUAUGCCACACCCCCACUUGGAAACAAGAUUUCAGAUGCAGCAUUUAAUGAAAACCAACAAAUUAUCAGUUUCACGAUAACUAAUUCUACUGCACAGUAAGAUAAAGACUCUAGUUGAGCUUGAACCUUUCAAGGGAAUUCUCUUCUGCAGGCCAAUUCUGCUUGCCAGUGCAGAGAGUAAGCAAGGUAGAUAAGUCUCACUCUCACAUCAUGCAUCCGAAGAAGUGGGUAUUCACCCACGAAAGCUCAUGCUCCUAUACGUUUGUUAGUCUAUAAGGUGCCACGGGACUCUUUGCUGCUUUUAAAGUCUCACUUUGUCCUCUGAUUCAUACUCGUGUCUUUCCACUUCCCAACCCUUCCAAUUAAUAGCCAAGGAAGACAAAUCUUUGUUGCGUUACACAUGAAUUGCAAUACUAUGUUCACUUCCAUUUUUCUAAAAGCCAGUUUUGAUAGAAGAGAAAGUCUAAAUGAACUGGCAAGGUUUAGAGGAAAGGCAAACAACUUCCAUUAUUGCUGGAGUCUUAUCAGAAGGAGCACUUCACGAAGUGUGAUCAUCCAAUCCUUGAUAUGGACAAGACACUUAAACAAAAACAAAAAACUUACCACACCUCUCACUGCACGCCAAGAAGGAAUCUAAGUUAGAAUGACUCAGAUAAGUUCACCUCUUACUCUCAUGCUAGAUUUUCAUAACAGGUGGAGCCAACUCCAAUUUACAUUUAAAGAAUAUCUAACACUGCAUCAGACUGCAAUUUGAUUACCUCUAAACUAGUAUAAUGGGAUUUCAGUUGACUUCUUAAGUUAGGCAGAUGUGUGUGGUGGAUAGGUAUGUAGAAAGGCUUUCUAAAUUAGACUAACUGCAUGGGUUUUAUAGAAGCAUUUGAAGAAACAGGAUGCUCCUUUUAGAACAGACAAUUAAUUUAAUAUAGUACUACUGGCAUAUAUGGUAAUUUACAAAGAGAAUGAAGUCGUUCUACUUCCCCAUCCUCCCCAAGAAGCUUAUUGAGAAACAUAUGCUGCUUAAAACAGUCAAUACCCGACAAUCUUAAACAGAUUCAGGUUUGAUUGAAUUCACCCAACAGAAGAGACUUUAUUGGGACUGGGCAAUCUAUUAGUGACAUUGCAGGUUCAUUGUGCUUUUGCCCAGUUGUGUAGAAGUAUGGGAUUACACACUUUGAUAACACAUGGUUUGACUGACAACCCUAGAUAACUUUGGUCUAGAUUUCUAAACUAGAUAAAUAAAGCUUUUCAAUAAAUGAAACAGACCUUUUCUUUUCAUAGGAUCAAAGCCUGGAGAGUUGCCAGUUCCUUGCUGUAGGAUUAUAAUAGAACGGGCCAAGGAAGGUGGGUGGUGGUGCUAAGGGAACAGUGACAAACUGCAUAAUCUGUAUGAUUAAAACCAUUGUGUCAGUUAUGAUUUUCCCCCCCUUUCAGAUUUUUAAGGAUGCUGUCAAGUCAGUGGAGUUCUCUUUUUAGUGGUUGCUUCAGUGAACAUUCAACGCUGUCGGUGAGUUUGGAAUUAAAGUGAAAACCAUCGACCGUUGAUUGUACCCUCCAGCUAACCAUCAUCCUCCUUACUUCAUGCUUUCAGGCCUUUCACUGAAGACAGCUGCCAAACCAGCACACAAGGUAUCUCUUCCCCCCACCCCAUCCUCUUUGCAGAGCUUUACUAAAAAGGUCACAAUCAACAUUCAUUGCUGUCGGUGGGUUUAACUAUGUGGACAAGCUCACUGAACAAUGAAUGCAACUGUGGCCCCACUUUUUGUGAUCACAAUCAAGAGGAAUAUCAGCUCUGAAAGCAGCACUGAAAGUCUUUCAUAUAUGAAACUUUUCUGAUCAAAAGACGAAUAUCUUCAGGAUUUUUUUUUUUUAAGCUGGUUUGACUCAGAUGGUUGAGACAACACUCACUCCUCCCUGGAGUUGAUUACAACAUAAAGGGAGCUCAUUCUGCCAUUAAUCUCUCUUACUUACUACAGAUAUUAACAAAAACUCUGGUAUAGAAAAAGCCUCCCUGUAUGCACCCCCGAGGACUCUGAACACAGGAGGAGAGAUGGUUGAAAACGCCUCUAAAAAUAUAUAUAAUAAAAUAAAAUCUAUGCACUGCAACAUUGCACAUGCAGAGCGAUGAUGGCUAUGUGUGUCCUUGGCAAAACAAGACAAACUCACCCCAAAAUUUCUUACAAAUGGGAGCCUUAGAUAAGAAUGGCGAUAAUAUUCCUGAUCUUGGUGUAAUACAAUUAACUGCUUUGUGAAGUUUAUUUAAACACCUAAUAAACAUUAAAAAACACAAA